This 497-nucleotide ribosomal RNA is filed under the name uncultured bacterium. RNAcentral's name for it is "partial 16S ribosomal RNA". It matches the Rfam family "Bacterial small subunit ribosomal RNA", at positions 28 to 508 of the family's 1533-position model. The record is from RNAcentral.
GAUGAACGCUGGCGGCGUGCCUAAUACAUGCAAGUCGAGCGAACAGACGAGGAGCUUGCUCCUCUGACGUUAGCGGCGGACGGGUGAGUAACACGUGGAUAACCUACCUAUAAGACUGGGAUAACUUCGGGAAACCGGAGCUAAUACCGGAUAAUAUAUUGAACCGCAUGGUUCAAUAGUGAAAGACGGUUUUGCUGUCACUUAUAGAUGGAUCCGCGCCGCAUUAGCUAGUUGGUAAGGUAACGGCUUACCAAGGCAACGAUGCGUAGCCGACCUGAGAGGGGGACCGGCCACGCGGGACUUGAGACCGGGCCAGACCCCCAAGGGGAGGAAGAAGAGGGGAUCCUUCCGCAAUGGGCGAAAGCCUGAGGGGGCAGCGCGGGGGGAGUAAGAAAGGUUUUCGGAGCGAAAAACUUUUUUAUGGGGGAAGAAAAAAUGUGUAAGUAAAUAUGCACGUCUGGACGGUCCCUAAUCAAAAAGCCACGCCUACAUCCGGC